GACGAACGCUGGCGGCGUGCUUAACACAUGCCAGUCGAACGGAAAGGCCCUGCUUGUAGGGUAUUCGAGUGGGGAAAGCGUGUGUAUAACGUGGGAGAUAUCCCCCCCAGAUCGGGGUAAGACUGCAAAAAUCUGUCUCAUAUAGCAGAUGACAUCUCCUGCUGUGUGGGGGGGGGAGAGAAUUUUCGGUGUGGGAUGAGCGCGCGGCUUAUCAGCUUGUUGGUGGGGUAAUGGUGUACCAAGGCGUCGACGGGUAGCCGGCCUGAGAGGGUGGUCGGCCACAUUGGGACUGAGAUACGGCCCAGACUCCUACGGGAGGCAGCAGUGGGGAAUAUUGCACAAUGGGCGGAAGCCUGAUGCAGCGACGCCGCGUGGGGGAUGACGGCCUUCGGGUUGUAAACCUCUUUCGACAGGGACGAAGCGUCGGUGACGGUACCUGUAUAAGAAGCACCGGCUAGCUACGUG
Molecule: ribosomal RNA, 465 nt
Filed under: uncultured bacterium
Lineage: Bacteria
Description: partial 16S ribosomal RNA
Rfam family: Bacterial small subunit ribosomal RNA
Source: RNAcentral